UGAUUGGGCCGGCUGGACGGCCCCACCCGGGGCCCAGAGGCGCGGCGCUCGCGGCCCACGCGGGGCGGGCGGGCCUGGGGUCGUCGGCUGGCGUGCCCGAGGGCUUUCACCAGCAGAGCCGCCGUCCGAGGUUCCGGUCUCCGCCUGGGGCCGCCUGAGCACUGCGGCUUACUGGGCUGCUCGGGAUGACGUGGGGGGAGGGGGAAGAAGCAGCUGCGCCGCGGCUGCUCGCGGCCAGAGCCCGAGGCGGGGUCGGUUUCUUGGCAACGGGGCCCCUCUCGGGUCGCGCCCACCCCCUUCUUGGUCGGUCUCCCCUCCCCCAUUGAACCUCCGCGGAGUCAGAGCCCCGGGACCCGAGGCGGAGCCCAGCCGGGUCCGCCCUCCCUAGCCUCCCGGAACCCGCCCGGAAACGUGCAGUACCCCGCCCGGGCCGAGGGCGAGAGCAGGCCGGUGGGUGGAGCGCUUGGAGAGGCGGGAGAGCCCGGGUCCUGGGUUCCAGCCCGGGCCAGGAGCCCCGGGGCCCCUCUUUCCAUUCCGCUGGGAAAACGGAGGCACAGACUGUCCCAAGGCCGCACCAAAAAUUAGCAAACCACGAGGAAGCCAAGGGAAAGCCUAUGGGGAGAGACCCGACAGAGACCGGGAUUUUUCCCAGGCCCUGAGUCCUGGGGGUCUGGAGUAGACAAGAGGGGCUACGAAGGCCUGGGCGCCCGCUGCCCCGACAGCUUCCCCGAGGGGUGGACCGAGCUGGAUCACCGCGACGGCCCCCAACCUCACGAAAUUAAUGAGGAAGAUGCCUUUCUUUCCUCAGUCGAGGAGUAGAGAUUCCGUUUAACCUCUGCAGACAGUACGACAGGGACCACUCUCCCUCCCAGCCUGGCGCCAGCAGGAACCCGAGGGCAUGUCAACAGGAGCCAGGAACUGGAGGCGAAGCAUCCUUCAUUUCCUCUGCAGCGGUGGAACAAGUGAGGGCGUUUUCAAACUUGGGAACCUGCCUUGAAGCCUGACUAAAUUGUCUGGGUUGGAGCUCAGGACGACUGGCCCAUGUCUUGCUCUGUGAAAUUACACAUGUCAUUUCUCACUUGUCCGUUCAAGAAACACUAUGGAGGACCUUCUGUCUGCUUGAGAUUUUGCAAUUAUGGAGCUGACACUUCAGAUUAGAAAAUAACAAAGAAGGAAGCCACCAAAUGGAAGCAUGGAAGGCUUUGCAGAAGAAUUGAUGUUUGAUAUGGGUUCUGACAGAUGAAAAGGAGCUCCCUGGGUGGUGUCAGUUCAUCUUCUAUAAGAUAAGGUGGUUAGACUAGGUCUACGUGGAGGACCCAUUUAAUCCUAAUAGAUUCUGUGGUUAUAACCUGCCCGUAAUCAACUUUUUCUUCUCUGUGUGUCCCUCGAGGGAGUUGAAAGACCACCAUGGACUUCCUGUCAUCAUUCUUUAUUUUGUUAGCUGAAGCAAUCCAAAUUGAGCUGUUGGUCUUGAGUCUCCCAGUUGUGUUUGGAGGCCAAAGCAUUAUCAUGUUAACCAGUCUGUAACCUUCUUAGGGAUUGGUCUCUUGGGCUCAUAGAUUUAUUUCCAUCCAUCUAGUUCCCAAGGCAUUUCACUUAGUUACUGUAGCUAUACCAAGCUAUACCAAGGCCCAGCCAUUUUGAUGAGCCAUUUGCUCAUCAAAACAUGGGUGCCUGUAGUUGAUACCCUCAGCCUUCCCAACUGCUUUUAUCUUCCCUCUCUUCCUGUAGGACAUGCAGUUCAAUAUUCAGCAUGCAUCCUGGCCUUUGGGUUAAUUGUUCAUCCUGAUACUCUGCCAAAACAGGUCGAACUUUGUGCUUUGAUGGCCUUUUCACCCAUGUGACAUGAACCAUCUGUUGGGGCAAAGCUUAAAACAGCAAUUGUCAUUUGACAAGUAGUUGGCAGUAUCACAUCUCUACUCUGUUAUGGAAAAUUAUUUUUCUGUUUUCAUCUUCUCAGUUUUUGUGGAUGUUUGUACUUUAAAAGGACAAUUUCUGAAACUUCUGGAGAAGUAAGAUAAGACUGUUUAAAUUUGGUUGCUAUAUGUUUGUUGAAUGAGUUUGCCUGGGCUAUCGUGCUGAGUCUAAUAUGUUGUCUUUUUAGGGACCUGGCUGCAUCUAGCCGUGUGAUCCAGAGCCUGGUGGAGGGCUGGGAAUGCUAGCAGCUCCUCUAACUCUUACUACUAUAAACCAGAGGAAUAGUUGAGACCUCUGCUUCUGGCUCUGAACACCAGCCUGGAUCAAACCAAACCUCCCACCUCAAACAAGCAGAACAGCUGGAUAAUUUAAAAAAUCUGUCUGACAGUAAGAACCUGAGAGGGCAAGAUCCUGGAGAGAAUGGAAACAUAGAAAGCACGUGGCUUCCACAGCAAACUGCCUUGCUGGGGACGUGGAUGGAGUCGGGUGCAGCCAGGUGGGCCAACCUGGGUUCAGGCAUCUGACUGUGCCCCCUGAAUCCGGAGCAACACAGCCGCCUCUCCGCUGGGCCCUGGCCACUCAUCCACUGUCUCUGCGGUACCCACGGACUCUUCACACGGAGGCGACUAAGAAAACAUUUCUCAGGGAGAACAGACUUGAAUGGUAACAUCCCUGCAUAUUAACAGAAACGGAGGAGUAUUUAGAGCUUAUGUGGUUUGAAUGUGACCUUCUUACCAGACUAGCUCACAAUAACAAUUUAGUUAUUUUCGAAAAUGGCUGUACUUCUAAAUAAUUAGAUAUUGUAAUCAUUUCCAUCAGUGACUCCAUUCGGAGCCCUGUUUCCGUUAACAUGGUCAUUGUGCUACCGUGGCCUGCAUGUAGCGCUCGGUCUUUGGAAAUAGGAAGUGUAUGUUAAGCGUUCUAUUAUUUCUGCUGCCCACCGCAAGCUCUGCUGUAUUUUUCCCAGUGUUCCUAUUUGGAGAAGGAUUCUGUGCUGUUGAAUUUUGAUAUUCCUAGUGUCCUCUGCAAAGGUUGUCUCUCAUUUGAGUUGCUUCUUUUAACCCUUGGCAGUGGUUUUGAAGAGAAGAGGCACGUGAAGACGGUCUGAGUAUUUUGUAAACAACCAAAGCUGAUUUAUCAAAAAGAGCACUUUUUUCUAGUGUAACGGUCUCUGUCAAACUUCUUUCUCUUUUCCGAGUGCUGGAGAAUGUGCUGGGUCUGGCCUUUGCAUUUGGAAAGUUAGAAUGACGCCUCCUUCUCUGUUUUAAUAUAUUUCACCUCUCUGAGGCAGACGGAGCGGAAGCUCACAAGGAAAAGCGAUGCCCUUUCCUGUGGUGACAUUAACCGGAAUCACGUGGAAAACAAUCCAAGCCUUGUAGGAAAAGGGAGCCAUUAAAAUGUGCCCUGAGCGAUUGGCUGCACCCAAUCUUGCAGCCUGGCUCACUCGCGGCAGCAGUCAGGAGGCUGCUCCCCUGGACGGAGAGAGCCUUGUUGUAGCGCCACAAUUAAAAUCAGCUCCUCUGCCAAAAAUAAAAGGGAGGAGGGAGGGAGGAGAACAUCAAAGACAGACUGAAAUGUGUAGUUAGUAGUAAGAGUGGUCUCCUCUUGAACCAAAGCCUGCAGCGAUUCACGGCCCCCUUGUUAAUGAGAAAUUUUGACCUCUGGUUUGUAAGUUAAACUUGUAAUCCCAGCUAAUGAAGUAAAUCACUUCCAACUUGAGUCUGUUGUUCCCAUCUGCUCUGCACACUGCGUCUGAGAGUGAGGAUCCAGGUCCACACACACAGACUGAAGGGAAAUAUAAUUAUUCAGUGACCGCAGAGUUUCUUGCAUGUUGAGGAUGUGCUCGCAGUAACCCUGCAGGCAUGGAUUGUGGACCUGUCUGUUAUUUCACUGUAACCUGUGUGUUGAUAAGAGAGAGAGCCUGUUAGACUCUGGGUUGAACAGCAGGAUUGAAUGACACUUCAGGGAGGUAAGUUGGGGACCCUACACACUGCAUUUCUUCAUUUCUUCAGCAAAUGGAAAUCUUAGUUCCAGGCCAACGACCGAGCAGACAGUCUAGUACUUUGCAUAGGGUAGAAGUCGAUGCAUAUUUCCUGAAGAAAUGCUGCUGAAUGAAGGAAAGACUAUUCGGGUGAUGUGGAGCUCAGAGGGAGAGAAGAAAGCACCGCUCAGGAAUGUGAGUCCAAGAAAGGCAGGGCUGAGGAGUCUGCGAGCUGCCUGACUUCCGGCUGCGCUGAGCCUUGGUGGGGAGGAGAGGAGCCGUUGUGUGAAACUGGGUACAGCUGGGAUGCUAAGGGGCUUGCUUCUUCGAGUGACAGAUUAUAGCUGAGAGAAACGGGCUAAAAAAUUACCCUAUUUUAAUUACGUGAGGGCAGAAGUAGGUAUUAGGCUGUUGCUUCGUCUAAAAGGGAUUUCAUUCAGAGAGCUGUUGACAUUCUGUUGGAGGUCCAUGACACAUCACGUUCUAUUCCUCCCGGCUAGUCUAAAUUCUCUAAAAUUUUCCGGAUUAUUGUGUAAAUUAUCUUAGCUUCUGACCGGGAAACAAUACUAUUAAUUUUUGGCCAGGAGACAACUCAGCCGCACAGUCUGGUGCCAGGGCAUAGUGACCUGUCAGAGGUGAACCUUCUGGUCUUUGGGGAAUGUUAUCCCUCCCCCCAAGGGGAGGAUGCCUUUUCUGGAGUUCAGGCCACCACCCUCCAAUCUAGGCCGACUUUCCCAGUGGUGGGGAGGUGGCUGCCCUCGGAACCGGCUGGGAUCACGAGCAAUCAGUGGGACCUCCCAUGGGGCAGGGGUGGCACUGCCCACCCUCUCUGUAGGCGGGAUCUCUGUGACAAAAAUCCCACAAUGGAAAAUGGCUCUUGUUCAGAAAAAUCGGAGAAGCCGGAAUUUUCCUUCUCCUAUUGGACAUCCUUGUCCCUCUCCAAUCCCUUGGCAGGUAUCAGCCUAAAACGUUUCUGAAGACUUAAAGCUUUCUAGGCCUAAGGAGGGAGUUUGGGAGGGAGGAUGUUUUUAAACCACUGACUCCUGUUAUUUCUGUUGAAGGGCACUUAGACCUAGUCUCCUUGUGUCUCUCUGGUUUUACAUUAGACAAAGCGAAGCAUUUGGGCAUUUGUCCUGUUUGUAUGACCCUGGAGAGAGCUCUGGGGUGAGUCCCCAGGCAGGAAAAGUCACUGACCGGUGUCUGAAAUCUGAGGACGUCUGGGGCCUGAGGCUGGGCAUUCAGAUCUACUACAAACAACAGUGCGUUAUACGUCAAGUGAUUUGAAUAAUCUCAUUUUUCCUCUAAAUUUGAGCAUGUAUAAAAUAUUGAUUUCAUCAACAAGUGGAGCAAAUGCCACAGCGAAUCUGUUCUCCGAUGGUGCACCUGGUAUGUGGAGAAGCCUGUCGAGAGGGGCCGUGAACAUAAUCAUGCUUUAUUAGCUGCAUGGGCUUUUUCCUUUGUUUCUUUUCAUUUAAUUCAAAGUGAAACAACUCAGCAUGCAAAACUGAAAUUAGCUGGGAAAAAAAAAAAGGUGUAAGUGAAUAAACAGGCAGAUCCAUUAGAGUCGAUGGGUUAUCGGAUCCCUUGCCACUCCUCAGACAGCGGCCUAUUAAAAGCGGUAAUGUUUGCUGCCGGCGGUGCCCCUGGCAAAGAAAGAAGGCCAAGGCAGGCCUAUUUCACAUGCAUCAGACACAAGAAUUAAAUAGACCAAUGUUCCCUAAAAGACUGAAGUACAUCUCUUUCUGACGUUCAUCUCAGGCAAAAAUUCAUUGAUCUCAGUAUGUCCCUUGGCAAUUAUAAAAUAUUAAAUCCAAGUCACACUUUUCUAGUUGGCUUAAUUUUUUCUCUUUUCACAGCUUUCUAUUUGAUCAAUUUUAACAAGUUAGGAAUAGCAUCUAAUAAUAAAAAGUGCAGAGUUUAAAAGUUUGUUCUUUUGACAUUCUUUUCUUUUUUAUUUUGUUUUGGGUUUGCAUUAACUUUGUGUUAUAUAAAAUGACUUGAAUGCCAUUUUAACAAACAGAAAGAACAUGAGUGAACCAGAAGGUUCUUUACUGAGAAUGAUAUUCAUUAGUAGGCAUCCAACGAUAAGGACAGCCUGAUUUAAAGAUUUUUAUUUUUUUUUUUUAGCACAUGCCCAAAUAGCCUUCUUAUUGUUUUGUAGUCAUUAAUGCUCCUCUAUUCCAAAAUUAGCAUGUGGUUUCAGCUGGGAGUAUCUGGUGGGGCUAGAGGUUUGACUGCGUUCCACUGAGAUUUACAAAAGAUGCAAAUUCCUUUCCCCAUUUUUAUGCAUAUGUAAUGUUUUAGUGUUUGAUGUUUGUUAAUUCAGAAUAUACCAUAAAUGCUAACACAGACACACAUGAUAAAAAUGCAGAAUUUUGGCAGCCCGUUUUCAUUAGACCAUCAGUAUGGGAAUUAUUGGGGGGAAAUGUUGCAUAAUAGUAACUUUACUCUCCAAUUCUCCUUGCCAUAAACUAUGAGCACAUCCCCCCAAAUUUAUAAUUUAUAAUAUAUAGAAUCAUUUUAUGUGAAAUAAUAAAUUCUUCUGAAAUAAAAUCUAUUAUGGUCUUCUCCCUACAUUUAAGUUUUCAUAUGGGAAAGUUAUUCACCUGUUGUCUACCAAUUCCUUUAUUUAAAGCUUUAUUUAUAUUAUGUCAUUUAAUUCUUACCACAAAUCCAUGAGGUCAUGGUAUUGUCUCCACUUUUCAGAUAAGAGGUGCAAGGGGCCCACGAUCAUCCAGCAACUUCCCUCUCUGGCCAGCCAGGCCAGUCCCUCUGGGGUUUUGACAGCAGGAUCAGAAAGAAAGAGAGGAGGAGAGAAGGUCAGGGUGGAGAGGGAGAGGCCUGGGGGAUAGUGCUGAGGAGUGUUGAAAAGGAUGGGGCCACUGCAGUACGUCAGGGAGAAAGCAGGAGAGAAGAGCCAGGUUCAGAAGCAGUGCUGUGAUCUGUGUAUCUCCCUUAGACUGUUGGAGGAAUGUCAGGAUUGAACUUGGCUUAUUUUGAAAUUUAUUAUGUUUACAUUGACAGAUUGUGUUUCUUUGUCUGAGACACUACCCUGAGACUGGACCACAUAGGUGAUGGCUUUAUAAUUACUAAGGUUGUUUUGAAUGGCCAAUUACAAUGUUUCAAAGAGAAUUCAAAAUAGAGCUGGAGCAUGGGGACGAGAAGGCUCUAAGCCUGGUGGCUUCUGGGCUCCUAAUAGGCUCUGCUUGGGUCUCUAAAGGGGCAUCAGAUGCAGAAUUUUCUGCACAGUCUCUUUGUGGCUGCCAUUGUCAUUCUCCUCCUCUGCCUGUUUUCCCUUGCUGCCCGUGUGUCCUCACCUCGCUCACCAUGCAAUGAUGAUGCAUUGCAUUUUCCUCUCUGAGAUGGCAAGAAAAGACCUCUCAAGGAGAUGAUUAGUGCCAUAGGGGUCCAAACUGCCGUGAGCCAUCUCUUGUCAUGGUCCAGACAACGCAGGGCCUGCUGUGGGACCCUGAGCCCAGGGCCAGCAGUGUGUACCAUCAUGGUGGGCUCACCCACCUCUGCGUCUCCCACCGUGGUGUCCCCUCUCUGAGUCACUAGCCUCCAUUAAGGUUUGCUCCCUCAUCUGCAUGCUGAGAUCUCUUUUAUCACUCCAGCACCUAGAACAUGGCUUGACACAGAACAGGUGUCCAGGUAGGAUCUGUUGAGCAGAAGGAUGGAUGGAUGGGUGGAUGGAUGGACGGACAGACUGGAGAAUGGUUGAGAGUAUCUCGUAAACUCAUGUCAGGAACUGAAAUAGGCUACUCCUCCGAGGAGCAUCGGCAUUUUUUGGAAGACCUAAUGUUGAUGAAAAUAAUCAAUAAACAAUCUAUGAUAGGAAUAGAAAAGAGUUUUAUGUGAGCCAAACUGAGGACUAUAGUCUAGAAGACAGCCUCUCGGAUAACUGAGGAACUGCUCCGGAGAAGCACGGUUUUCAGCACAGUGUUAUAUCUUGGCAGAACAAGGAACAUUAAACAAGUCUGGGAUACAUUCCUUCAGGGUUUCCAUAAAAAACAGAUCCGCACGUCCACAGUGAGUCAGUAUGGCCUGGCACCUGGGAAGGGAGUCUUAUCAAAGGAGUAUGCAUUGGCACCCCAGUAAGGUAGGCAUUUCAUCUUUAUUUUUAAUAUGGACAUUCUUUACUUCUGGUCAGUGCACCCUUUUCUAAAUAAUUAAAGCAGACGUACAACGUGUGUUUGAUAGGCCACAAACAGUCUGCUUUAGUUAGCAUACAGUUCAAGUUAAUUCAUGUAUAAGCCAGAAUGACUUCCCCUUUUCUCAAUAUGUGAACAUUUCUUCUAUCACUAGGAAGGAUGCUACACACACCAAGAAAUGUUACCCCAAAGUGGGGUUACCCAAAGUUUGCUCCUCUGACCACCUGUUAUGCAACUUACCUGAGCAGCCUUUUCAUUGGGUCUUUGGGCCCCACACAAGACCUACUUAAUCAGAAAUGUGUCUUUUUAAUAGGUGCUCCAGAGGAUUCUUUUGCACUCCAGUAUUUGAGAAGUUCUGCUUUUCUAAAGGUGGAGCCUCAGUUAUCUCAUCUGUAAACUGGGAGUAAGAAGAACAACCUCCUUGGUUGCUUCGGACACCACGGGAAUGUGAGAAACCUUUGCAAGUCUUAAAAUGCGCAAAGGCUCUGCGCAUAUGUGCCCAUUUUAACCUUGAAUCCUGAAGUGUAUCUGGGGUGAUUUCCUUCCUCCAUUGGUGGAUCUGGGGGAAGACUCUCCUCCCCUCCAGAUCUGAACCUCUAUGUGCCUUGCGAGAGAAAAGUGCCUCUUGAAGGUCUGUGUGCAGUGAAACUUUGCACAGGCUUUGAGGGUUGCAGCAUGUCCCCACAAUCCCCUUUUCCAGAUUAAAUGUUUGCAUCUCUUGUUAUAUUAGGAAUUAGACCUACUUUGUGAUCAUUGCACCUGAGUACCUGUAAAAUACAAAAAUACAGCAGUGGCUGGUGUCUACGAAUUGGCUGUUUUUGGUGUGCAUGCGUGCCUCCGUGUGUGUGUGUGUGUGUGUGUGUGUGUGUGUGUGUGUUUGUGUGUAAUAUAUAUUCAAGGCAGGCAAAACGGUUUACAUAUUCCCAACCCAUGUUAACAAGAUGUUCUUUCCUGAACAUAACAUGUUUCUGAAAAUUCCUGAAUCUUUCACUCUGAAACUCAACAAUAUUGUUAUUAAAAUGGUUCUGUUUAAAGAA
This is a long non-coding RNA of Aethalodelphis obliquidens (Pacific white-sided dolphin), 9086 nucleotides long. RefSeq lists it as uncharacterized. The transcript has 7 exons. The record is from RefSeq and is a predicted model, not a curated record. Lineage: Eukaryota; Metazoa; Chordata; Mammalia; Artiodactyla; Delphinidae.